GAAAAAAGUGCACAACGCAUGUCAUUACUCUAAAGAAGUUUUUAUAUUUGAUCUAACUCAAAAAAAUACAUUUUCUGUCCAGCCAUCAGUUUUAUGUAAAAAAUGUGUUUGAUUUAAAUUAAAAGUAAGUCCUGUUGGUGUAAAGUAAAUAAAUUUCUGUAAAUUAAAGUAAAAAUAUUAGUUUCCAUUGUCACGUGACUUACGUAACGUCAUCCUGGUCGUGCGUGAGGACGUUCAGCUGAAGUUCAGCUUUCCGCCAUCUUGUUAUACACUGCACCGAUGGAUGAACUCCGCGUCGUACAAUGGGAUUCAAGAAAAUUGGUAAGUAAUUUUAAACAUACGUUUUGGCGUAUUAUUAACAUUAUACAUGUGUGAUUGUACUGUUGUUUUACAUACGGUUAGUAUUACUUAGUGGUGUACCGGUCGGAUCGCAGUUGAUUGAGCAUGACGGUUCGGCUCACAUGCGAUUCGCGGAUUAAUGCGCAAAUUAAAAUAGGAAACGUUUAAUCAUUUGCACGUGUUUUAAAGGCUUGCAGAUGUUAAUACCAAAGUGAUUUUAAACAAUUUCACCGCAAAAAGGCGCUAAAGUGGGCAGUUUAUAUACGCAUGCGGAUGAAAGUGUCUAUAUGCCCUUCAAAGAUCAGAACUCUUGAUGUGUAAACUUUAGCGACAGUUUUUCUACUUUGCCUCAUACUGUAGUCGAUUAAAAUGCAUUUGGCCAAUAGAGCAAUGCGACUGUUUAUGCUGCAUCUCCUUCCGGAAGCGCUGUUUGAAAUUCGCGCUCCGUUUCUGUGUAAUAUUAUGCACUCAAAACUGCACACGUGGAGAGACGAGCAAACAUAAAAUCUUUCGGUUCUUGACAGGGUCCAUACAAACAAAAUGAUCUCCACAGUAUUCUUUUUUUUAAAUAAAAACUUUUGUUUAUGUCACAAGAUGUAGUGAACAUGUAAAUGUCUAGCAAUUAUCUAUUAUUUGUUCAAGCCAAUCAUAUCCCAUCCCUGGAGAGACAUCAGCAAACAUUAUGACAAAGACGUUUGCCUUACGCAGACAAGAGAUUGUGGAAAACCAACCUACUGUUCAAGAACUGCAAGAAAGAUUGCCAGAGGAGGUAAAAGCAUUUAUUUUAUUAUAAAAUGUUAAAAUGUGACUUGUACUGAAUUAACCAUAGUUUUUACCAUAGGAUGUAGUGCUUUUGAAAAUGUCUUAGAUGCUCUAAUUAUAUAUUCAUUCAAUGUUUUGUGUGUAUAUCUAUUUUACAACUAGUUCUAGAAAUAAUUUUUUCAGAAGUGUAUUUUCUGUUUCUCUUACUUUCAGAUUAAUGCAGAAUUGCGCAUCACGAUCUUACCUUGAAAAUAAAGAUUUAUGGCCUCUUUGGAAAGACAGAGCUCUCAUGUUAUUAGGAGCAAAGGUGGAGUCCUCCAUGAAAAACUAAGGACACUAUUAAAGUUAUGGAUCAGAGUCUGGACGUAGAAAUCAGAAGAGAAAGCCUGCUGAAGUGCCUGAUUCAUGUACUAUUCAUGUGAAGAUGCAAGCUGUCUGAUCAAAGAAUACCAGGCUGACAAGAGGGAAGAAGCGGAGAGGGAAUUCAAAAAGACCACCAUGGAAUUUUUUGUGAUCCGUGAAAGUGAUGCUCCUAAUCCUGCACUGGACAUUUUCAUUGAUGGUGUGGAGUAAUAAAUGAGUUGCCCUCUGUUGCAUGUGCAUGUUUGGACUCAUUUGAACUGAACUUAAAAUAUCCUGAUGGACUCAAAUAUACCUUUAAAGCCUUUCAAAAAAAAAUGUCAUGGACGUAGACAGUAAGCAGAUGAGCCGAAGGGUGCAGAACCCCUCUUCAAAACUGCAGGAGUAAAUUUGUUUCCUUUGACCCAGCUACUGAAGGUACAUUUUUGAGCCUUUUAUACAACAUUUAACUUUAAUACUGUUUACUAAACCUGAUUUGUUUUAUCUUGAUUAAGUUUUAUGGUUUAUCUAUCAACCAUAACUGAUUCUUAUUUAGAAUUUAUAUUUUAUCC
Molecule: long non-coding RNA, 2012 nt
Organism: Paramisgurnus dabryanus
Lineage: Eukaryota; Metazoa; Chordata; Actinopteri; Cypriniformes; Cobitidae
Source: RefSeq, a predicted model, not a curated record